Molecule: ribosomal RNA, 550 nt
Filed under: uncultured bacterium
Lineage: Bacteria
Description: bacterial SSU rRNA
Rfam family: Bacterial small subunit ribosomal RNA
Source: RNAcentral
UGGGGGAUCUUCCGCAAUGGACGAAAGUCUGACGGAGCAACGCCGCGUGAGUGAUGACGGCCUUCGGGUUGUAAAGCUCUGUUAAUCGGGACGAAAGGCCUUCUUGCGAAUAGUGAGAAGGAUUGACGGUACCGGAAUAGAAAGCCACGGCUAACUACGUGCCAGCAGCCGCGGUAAUACGUAGGUGGCAAGCGUUGUCCGGAAUUAUUGGGCGUAAAGCGCGCGCAGGCGGAUAGGUCAGUCUGUCUUAAAAGUUCGGGGCUUAACCCCGUGAUGGGAUGGAAACUGCCAAUCUAGAGUAUCGGAGAGGAAAGUGGAAUUCCUAGUGUAGCGGUGAAAUGCGUAGAUAUUAGGAAGAACACCAGUGGCGAAGGCGACUUUCUGGACGAAAACUGACGCUGAGGCGCGAAAGCCAGGGGAGCGAACGGGAUUAGAUACCCCGGUAGUCCUGGCCGUAAACGAUGGGUACUAGGUGUAGGAGGUAUCGACCCCUUCUGUGCCGGAGUUAACGCAAUAAGUACCCCGCCUGGGGAGUACGACCGCAAGGUUG